GAUGAACGCUGGCGGCGUGCCUAAUACAUGCAAGUCGAGCGAACAGACGAGGAGCUUGCUCCUCUGACGUUAGCGGCGGACGGGUGAGUAACACGUGGAUAACCUACCUAUAAGACUGGGAUAACUUCGGGAAACCGGAGCUAAUACCGGAUAUUAUAUUGAACCGCACGGUUCAAUAGUGAAAGACGGUUUUGCUGUCACUUAUAGAUGGAUCCGCGCCGCAUUAGCUAGUUGGUAAGGUAACGGCUUACCAAGGCGACGAUGCGUAGCCGACCUGAGAGGGUGAUCGGCCACACUGGAACUGAGACACGGUCCAGACUCCUACGGGAGGCAGCAGUAGGGAAUCUUCCGCAAUGGGCGAAAGCCUGACGGAGCAACGCCGCGUGAGUGAUGAAGGUCUUCGGAUCGUAAAACUCUGUUAUUAGGGAAGAACAAAUGUGUAAGUAACUAUGCACGUCUUGACGGUACCUAAUCAGAAAGCCACGGCUAACUACGUG
This 497-nucleotide ribosomal RNA is filed under the name uncultured bacterium. Its description in RNAcentral is "partial 16S ribosomal RNA". It matches the Rfam family "Bacterial small subunit ribosomal RNA", at positions 28 to 507 of the family's 1533-position model. The record is from RNAcentral.